RNAcentral lists this ribosomal RNA (229 nucleotides) under uncultured bacterium. RNAcentral describes it as "partial 16S ribosomal RNA". It matches the Rfam family "Bacterial small subunit ribosomal RNA", at positions 15 to 236 of the family's 1533-position model. The record is from RNAcentral.
GAUCCUGGCUCAGGAUGAACGCUAGCUACAGGCUUAACACAUGCAAGUCGAGGGGCAGCAUCAUCAAAGCUUGCUUUGAUGGAUGGCGACCGGCGCACGGGUGAGUAACACGUAUCCAACCUGCCGACAACACUGGGAUAGCCUUUCGAAAGAAAGAUUAAUACCGGAUGGUAUAGUUUUCCCGCAUGGGAUGAUUAUUAAAGAAUUUCGGUUGUCGAUGGUGNUGUCU